Molecule: ribosomal RNA, 253 nt
Filed under: uncultured bacterium
Lineage: Bacteria
Description: partial 16S ribosomal RNA
Rfam family: Bacterial small subunit ribosomal RNA
Source: RNAcentral
UACGUAGGGUGCAGGCGUUAAUCGGAAUUACUGGGCGUAAAGCGUGCGCAGGCGGUUUGCUAAGACAGGUGUGAAAUCCCCGGGCUUAACCUGGGAACUGCGCUUGUUACUGGCAAGCUGGAGUGUGGCAGAGGGGGGUAGAAUUCCACGUGUAGCAGUGAAAUGCGUAGAUAUGUGGAGGAAUACCGAUGGCGAAGGCAGCCCCCUGGGAUAACACUGACGCUCAUGCACGAAAGCGUGGGGAGCAAACAGG